CAAGAGAUGAGUGCAUCGCAUUGCCAUGGGGCUAGAUUAGGGCCUUUUAUAAGACAUGUAGAAUACACGUGAAACCAGUGUGGAGAAGCGCAACGAGGAGGUGAAUUAGGUAGCUUUAAAAAUGUUAAAAACAACAUGUUGCCAAUAUCCACUUGGAGACAUGUCUAUCGGGAUUCUUCUGUGUGGGAGGAAAGCCGACUGUAUCAUAACAGCUUUAAGUCUACACAUUUUAAGCUAUCCUGAGAAGAGGAGAACCUGACAAGCGCCCGGGUGACUCGCCAUGCACGGACAAAUGAACAACGAUGCCGAAAUAAACUUUUACACUUCAAGACAGGAUGGAAAGCUUCAGUUGUGCACCUGCUAUUGUGGAAUGCCCUGGAGACGAUGACAGCCACCAUUAUCCUGGUCCAAAUGUUUUGCAAGCACUGCAUGGUGGGCAAAUGCAAAGUGGACAUCAUCUGAUGUUAUCUUAUGUGGAUGUUUGGAGGAGCACAGUAGGAAAGGAUCAGUUUCUUCACAGUUUUAUUAACAACUGAAGAUUAGAACAUCUUUAGUGGCUUUUCAAUUAUGAC
RNAcentral lists this long non-coding RNA (572 nucleotides) under Sinocyclocheilus grahami. RNAcentral describes it as "lncRNA (ENSSGRG00000024406.1)". Lineage: Eukaryota; Metazoa; Chordata; Actinopteri; Cypriniformes; Cyprinidae. The record is from RNAcentral.